ACGCCGCGGGGAGGAUGAAGGCCUUCGGGUUGUAAACUCCUGUCAGGAGGAACGACGGGGAAAGGGUGACAAAUCCUUCCCUCCAGACGGUACCUCCAAAGGAAGCCCCGGCUAAUUCCGUGCCAGCACCGCGGUAAUA
This 139-nucleotide ribosomal RNA is filed under the name uncultured bacterium. RNAcentral's name for it is "partial 16S ribosomal RNA". It matches the Rfam family "Bacterial small subunit ribosomal RNA", at positions 394 to 525 of the family's 1533-position model. The record is from RNAcentral.